Molecule: long non-coding RNA, 707 nt
Filed under: Trifolium pratense (red clover)
Lineage: Eukaryota; Viridiplantae; Streptophyta; Magnoliopsida; Fabales; Fabaceae
Description: long non-coding RNA (TPRA_LNC006991)
Source: RNAcentral
AGGAAAGGAUCAACUAAAAGUGGACAUGGAAAUAUGUAUCGAACUUUUAUUCUACAAUAAACAAGUCCAAAUCUAACACUUGAAAUUUAUAACAACACAAAUAAAUUUAAUGAGAAACUUAUGACAUAGAUAAAAUGGUGAAUGAAGUGCAUUAACUUAAUCAAUUUAGGACAUGUACAGUGUAACUAGAAUAAGGCUAGAUUAAUAACUUCAACUCAUACCUAGUACCUACAUAAGUAUAUAUUAACCUAAAUAGAUGAGUGGAGUAGAGAAACUUGAAAGAGUAGGCAUUCCAAACAACAAAAUCAACAGAUACUCACAAUAGGAUGGGCAAGUAGCUCUCGAAAGUUGUAGAUGUUUUUUUGAACAAGGUAGUUGUAGAUGUUAUCUCCCAGCAGGGCAUAAAUGCCAAAUCCUAACAGAUCACAAAAAAAAAGAACUGGAUUGAAAUGCAAAAAAUUUGAACGGACUUAUACAGUACAAUUUGAAAAGUUACCGAAUUUAGCCAUCUUCCAAAUUGUUAUGAAACUGCCACAUCUAGCCAAAACUGCCAACUGCAGAAAAACUUCAGUUCUGGAGCAGUAAAAGAUAAACUCUUUAGUGUAGAGUUCUAACCUCAAAUUGAUAUAUCCCUUGCAUAAGAAAAUGAGAUUAUAAUGAAUGUUCCAAUACUAAACACAAAUGCUGAUCUUGAAACAUCUUUCCAC